RNAcentral lists this ribosomal RNA (466 nucleotides) under Vreelandella stevensii. RNAcentral's name for it is "partial 16S ribosomal RNA". It matches the Rfam family "Bacterial small subunit ribosomal RNA", at positions 338 to 795 of the family's 1533-position model. The record is from RNAcentral. Lineage: Bacteria; Pseudomonadati; Pseudomonadota; Gammaproteobacteria; Oceanospirillales; Halomonadaceae.
CCUACGGGUGGCAGCAGUGGGGAAUAUUGGACAAUGGGCGAAAGCCUGAUCCAGCCAUGCCGCGUGUGUGAAGAAGGCCUUCGGGUUGUAAAGCACUUUCAGUGGGGAAGAAAGCCUUGGGGCUAAUACCCUCGAGGAAGGACAUCACCCACAGAAGAAGCACCGGCUAACUCCGUGCACAGCAGCCGCGGUAAUACGGAGGGUGCGAGCGUUAAUCGGAAUUACUGGGCGUAAAGCGCGCGUAGGCGGUCUGAUAAGCCGGUUGUGAAAGCCCCGGGCUCAACCUGGGAACGGCAUCCGGAACUGUCAGGCUAGAGUGCAGGAGAGGAAGGUAGAAUUCCCGGUGUAGCGGUGAAAUGCGUAGAGAUCGGGAGGAAUACCAGUGGCGAAGGCGGCCUUCUGGACUGACACUGACGCUGAGGUGCGAAAGCGUGGGUAGCAAACAGGAUUAGAUACCCGGGUAGUC